This 3973-nucleotide unclassified non-coding RNA is filed under the name Schistocerca americana (American grasshopper). RNAcentral describes it as "huntingtin-interacting protein 1, transcript variant X4". Lineage: Eukaryota; Metazoa; Arthropoda; Insecta; Orthoptera; Acrididae. The record is from RNAcentral.
AGAGUCUGUGCCACGCUCCGCCGAUUCAUCCGUCACCACCAUGCCGCUGAUGACGGACAAGCAAUACCACCAAUAUGCCAUCAGCAUCAGCAAGGCUAUCAACAAUAUGGAAACUCCAGUGAAGCAGAAACAUGUGAGAAGCACAAUCAUUGGAACAUUUCAAGAAAAAGGUGGAGCAACUUUCUGGGCAUGUGCGCUGCGACUGCCUUUGCAGGACAGUCGUAUUGUUGCAUGGAAGUUCUGUCAUGUGCUGCAUAAGGUGCUGAGAGAAGGCCACCCGCAGGUUUUACCGUAUUCACAACGUUACAGAGGGAAGAUCGAGGACCUGGGGAAAUAUUGGUGCCACUUGAGGGAGGGAUAUGGGAAAUUAAUACAAAUUUACUGCUCAUUACUGAUGACAAAAUUGGACUUCCAUAGACGUAAUCCUCGGUUUCCAGGAAACAUGCAAGUUACUCAAGAAGAACUGGAAAGUAUUGGAGAAAAUGAUAUAAAUAAUUACUUCCAGAUGUCAGUGGAGAUGUUUGACUACAUGGAUGAAAUUCUAAGUCUUCAGUCAGCAGUUUUUGGACAAUUAGACAUGUCCCGGUCGAAUUCAAUGACUAGUUGUGGACAGUGUCGCCUGGCUCCACUGAUACCAUGUAUACAAGACUCAUCACAACUCUAUGACUAUUGUGUGAAAAUACUUUUUAAAUUACAUGCAAGCUUACCACCAGAUACACUGGGUGGCCACAGAGAGAGGUUUCUUAAGCAAUUUAAAGAGCUGAGACAGUUCUACCUUACUGCAAAUACAAUGCAAUACUUCAAGUCCCUUAUACAAAUUACAUUGUUGCCAGAGAAACCACCGAACUUCUUAGUGGAAGCCGAUCUUCGCAGUUAUGUGACACCAGUCGUAGUGCUUCCACCAGAGGAGAGUACUCAUGAAACAGAGUCUACUGAUGGUACCCUGAUUGAUACUACUGAUGCGGGAUCAACUGGAGAGUUAUUGGAUUUACAUAGUCGAAAUGGUUCCAUAUCGCCAGAUGUACUAGCAGAAAGGGACAAUUUAAUUGAACACCUACAUAUGGAAAUAGCACGCCUUCGUCAAGAAAUUCAGAGACUAAUAGCAGAGCACAAAAGGAUUGUGGAACAAUUGAAUGAGCGAAUAAUGGACUUGGAGACCCAACUAGCAACAAAGGACAGUGAACUUCUUCAGGAAAAACAGCUGAAGGAUGACCUACUUCAGCAGACAGAGGAUUUUUCAAGAUACCAGGAAACAGAAAAGAAGGCCAAAACAAUAGAGGAAAAGUUUCAGAAAUUAAAGGAGGUGUACACAAAACUGAGAGAGGAACAUAUUCAGCUAAUACGACAGAAAGCAGAUGUAGAUAAACAGUUACUUCAUGCAAGAACUGUAAGUGAUCAAACUCAGAGGCUGCAAGCAGAAGCAGAAGCAAAAUUGCAGGAAAUGCAGUUUGAGAGAUCAAAAAUGGAGCAGAACCUUGUACAGUCAGCAAAUGAGGCUAGCGAACAGGUAGCUGCACUGAAGGCUGCACAAGAAAAUGCAAAAUUGGAGAAUGAGACACUUGCAGCGCGAGUGGACUGGGUGUUAAAAGAGAAAAGUAAUCUUGAAAGUGAACUCCAUGAUCUUCUAUCACAGAAGGAAGAGUUAGAUCAACAGUUACAGGAAGCAGAAGCUAAGCAUAAAAAAUUUCAGGAUCAGUUAAAGAAAGAGGCAGAGGAUAGAAUGAAAAGCAUACUUGUAUCCUGUGUGGUGCAGGCUGAAACCAUAGUGCAAAGAGCAAUUCAUGAAGUUGACAAUCCAGCUUUAUCAGCAGUUACGUGUACACCAGCCACAGAGUUGCUUCGAACUAUCAUCUCACAGCAUCUUGCAUGGAUUUAUUAUUUCCAAAGUCUGACUGAUCCUGUUGUUGCAUCAUUGGAUGACAUCAGUGCAUCAUACAAAAUGUUCCAUGACAACUCGGCAAACAUAGAUGACCUCUUAAAACAUAUUUCACAUGUUGCUCACCUAAUAGCUAAUUAUUUAAUUCAAGGAAAAACUACUUCAAACACAUCACCAGACAUAGAAUUUGGAGAGCGAAUUGCAGAAGCCUGUAAACAGGCUGGAACUGAGUCACUUGUACUUCUUGCAAGUGUAAAAUCAGUGGCUCCAUCAUCGUCUAUAACAGACAAUGCAAACACUGUUAAGCAGAAAGUUAAAGAUGUGACUGAUUUAAUGGAAAGACUGAUAAGUCAGUUAAAAGGAGACUCUGCAGAAAUGAUAGAAGAUCUAGUUGAGAAUGAACUGUCAAGUAUGGACAAAGCAAUAGAAGAGGCUGCAGCUAGAAUAGAGGAAAUGUUAAAUAAAUCCAGAGCUGCCGAUUCUGGUAUUAAGCUUGAAGUAAAUGAGAAGAUUCUAGAUUCUUGCACCAACUUGAUGAAAGCAAUUAGGUUGCUUGUUCAGAAAUCUAAACUUUUGCAAGCAGAAAUUAUUUCCCAAGGAAAGGGGACUGCAUCUACAAAGGAAUUUUAUAAACGAAAUCACCAGUGGACUGAAGGCUUGAUAUCAGCAGCAAAGUCUGUGGCAGUGGGAGCUCGUUUCUUAGUAUCGGCAGCAGACAAAGUUGUUAGUGGAAAUGGAAAAUUUGAACAGCUCGUUGUGGCAUCCCAAGAAAUUGCUGCAGGAACAGCACAGUUAGUUGUUGCAAGCAGAGUGAAAGCAGACAGGAAUAGUACUAACCUUGCUGCCCUGUCCCAAGCAUCAAAAGGUGUGACCCAGGCAACAGGUGGUGUUGUUGCAACUGCAAAGUCCUGCAGCCAAAUGGUAGUUGACAAUGAGGAGCUGGAUGUGAGUGGCUUGACUUUACAUCAAGCAAAACGGCUAGAAAUGGAGUCUCAGGUUAAAGUAAUUGAGCUUGAAGCAAACCUGCAGCAGGAACGCCUUCGACUGGCAGCACUCCGGCGGCAGCACUAUCAGCUAGCGGGGGUCACGGAAGGUUGGGAUCCAGAGGCUGAUGAGCAAGCACCCAGUACCCCUAAAUAAGUAAAUGAAGAUGCAGUGUACAUAUAAAAAGUAAUUGUAUAUAAUCUCUUGAGUCAUAGUCACCUCAUUAAUAUUAAACCAUGAAGAUGAAGUUUCGAGAUAAAAACCUUCACCAUAAAAGAAAGGUAUAGACUCAGGCAGUCAUUGCCAUAACAAGAAGUUCAGUUUACCUCUGCAUCAUAACACUGCCAAACUGCAGGCUGGUGACUUCACAAGGAGAAUACUGUCCACAUUUAAUCCAAACCGGUAAACCAUUACCAAGUAUAACAGCAUCAUGAAAGAAGUGUUUCAACUGGUGAUGCAAUCGUGAAGGGAAAAGAUAAAGUUUUGACUGCAGACUGUGCAAUGUGAAGACACAGCCUACAAAUGAGGCUGAUCUGUAGCUGCUGAUGUAACUACAUCUGAGCCUUUUCCAUGUACCAAUCUUUUCUAUGUAUUUUUAUUUAUGUGAUAUCCACAGAGUAUAUCAACGGUAUUUAACACUUUUGAUUAAUGCCGUAAGCAAUGAUUGCAACUCAUUUCAUAAGAAGUUUUUGCCUUACAUUAAGUUGGGAAAGAGACAAAUGUAAAUAUUGUACGCAUCGUAAACAUCAUUAGAAUGUGUGGAAGUUUGAAUCAUUGAACUCAGGGACUGAAGUGUCUUUAAAAUAUGAAACUGUUAAUAAUAUUGUUUUCAAUUUUCCCAUGUAAGUCAUCACACUGGUCUUUAUUUAUUGUUUUCUAAUAUGUAUUAAAACAUAUCACCUCUCCAUUGACAAAUGAUAUAUGCUAACAGUUCUUAUUCAGCUGUAUAGUAAUAGUAAGAACUGCUGAUCAUACCAAAAUAAUAGAUCAACAGGCCCCUCAGCCAUGUUGAUUGUGAAGUAUUUUACUCUACCAAAAUAACACCAAAAUCAAAUAAAUGUAAGUCAUAGAAAAUUUUUGUCAUUAAGUAAUAAAGAAAAUUUACAAACAUCA